Molecule: ribosomal RNA, 483 nt
Filed under: Triticum aestivum (bread wheat)
Lineage: Eukaryota; Viridiplantae; Streptophyta; Magnoliopsida; Poales; Poaceae
Description: partial small subunit ribosomal RNA
Source: RNAcentral
AUGCUCCAGCAUUUGCAGCAACAAUUUAAACAUGCCCAGGACCGUAUGAAGAAGCAAGCAGACAAGCAUAGGACGAACAGAGAGUUUGAAGUGGGUGACAUGGUGUUUCUCAAACUCCAGCCAUUCAUCCAAACAUUGAUUGCGCAGAGGCCGUACCAGAAACUAGCAUUUCGCUACUACGGGUUGUACUGUGUCGAAGCUCGCGUGGGUGCUGUUGCCUACAAGCUGAAGUUGCCGGAGGGCGCCAAAAUACACCCCGUGGUGCAUGUGUCACAACUGAAACGAGCGAUCGGCGCCGAUGUUUCUAUAAGUGCUCAACUUCCUCCUGCUAACCACAUUCUGCAGGCGAAGCAUCAGCCAGAGGCAAUCCUUGACAGCAAGAACAUCCAAGUCCAAGGGAAGUCUGCAUCGCGAGUCUUAGUGUUGUGGUGCAACUUGCCAUCAUCUUUGCCGACCUGGGAAGACCCUGCAAGGCUUCAAUAG